Microcebus murinus (gray mouse lemur) is the source of this 875-nucleotide non-coding RNA. Lineage: Eukaryota; Metazoa; Chordata; Mammalia; Primates; Cheirogaleidae. The record is from RefSeq and is a predicted model, not a curated record.
AAGAGAAGUGAUUCACCGUAUGUAAGCAGGAGCAAUCAAGCACUAGAGAGGAAACAAGAGGCACUCAGCAGCGUGAAGGAUCGCCCUGGCUGCCGUUUCAGGAAGCAAAGGUGGGAAACAGGAAGCCCAGGCAGGGACGCUCUUGCAAUAACCCAGCCUUUCUUUUUCAGAAUCCGUGUGUAAUCUCCAGGGAAGAGGCUGGCUCCAUUCAAGUCACAUUGUUCCUGGCCUUGAACCAGUCACCACAGUGGGGAAGUUGAGUCCCAUUACUGACAACCCUCCAAGGUCACAUGAAGAGGGAAAUGGCAGGUCUUUGAAGGAAAGUUUGCUGGACAAAACCCAGUUGUCCAUCAGAAACAGAAUUUAAUAAAACUAAUUGGAACUUAAAUUAGAUUUAAUCCCUUAUGAACUUGGGUCUAUCAGUAUCCAUGGCAUUAAUUUCCUUUUGUUUUAUAGUCUCUCCGUUAUCUGGGAUAUACCUGUUAAAAUGGAAUCAGAAGGACAAACCAGGAGACACCAAUAAGGUGUGCUUAUGUGUUUUAAAAUUACUUUAAGGGCCAGUGAUUAGUGGUUUUCUCUCUAGAACAAAAAGUAUGUUGUUAAAAUACAGCUUCUUAAAUCUUUUCAAAACUGUUUUUAAGAGAAUGCAACAUCACCUUUGUGGUAUUCAUGCCAAAAAUGUUUAACCAAAAUUUAAUCAUGAGAAAAGAAUGAGACAAAUGCAAAAGACUGGCCUGGACUAUCCAAAAAUGUCAAUUUCAUAAAAGACGCUCCCCCUAAAAAAAGGUUAAGGGACCACUCCAGACUAAGGAGACUCAAGAAUCAUGACAACUAUAGUCUAUGAUCUUUGAUCCUAGAUUUAAAACUAUAUAUAA